This 2056-nucleotide long non-coding RNA is filed under the name Homo sapiens (human). RNAcentral describes it as "HSALNT0405729". The record is from RNAcentral. Lineage: Eukaryota; Metazoa; Chordata; Mammalia; Primates; Hominidae.
CCCACCUCGGCCUCCCAAAGUGCUGGGAUUACAGGCGUGAGCGACCGCGCCCAGCCGAACUUCUGCCUCUUAAAUCCAGGGUUCUCCCUGUCAGUACAGUGAGGUGGUAACUAGCAAAAGCUAUGAGAUAUGACUGCCUGGGUACAUAUCCCAGCUCUUUCACUUAUCUUUGUGGCUUUACGCAAAUUACUUAACCUCUUUAUGAUUGUUUCUUCAUUUGUAAAAGGAAGAUAAUAACAGUGCCUAUAUAUAGGGUUUUUAUGAAGAAUAAAUGAGAUAGUAUAUAUAAAGCACUUAGAACAGUAUCUGGCACAUACUAGGUGCUCAAUAAAUGUUAGCGAUGACAUUUAUUACUGUCCCACAUUGAGCUGGUGUUUGUUAAACACUGGAUGACUGGAUAAAAUGUACAUCUUUCAUGCAGAGAUUGCUCGAUUAUCCAUUUCACUGAUUCAGGAUCAGAGUCUCUUAAGAAUCCAGAGAGGGGAUGUUGAAGCCCUAAGAAGUAAAAACACUAAAAUGAUAACAUUUUGACCUUUUGAAAACUCUUUGAAGUGGCAAUGGCCACAAAAUUGAGCGGAAACCAAACAUAUUCAGCCCCAUUUCCAGAUAAAUUGGAUUUGCUAAACCACUCAGAAUAACAAGAGCAAGAAUUAGAUGUUCAGCUAAGCUCUAGCUUCUGAUCCUAGAUGGUGGCAAUAACAACGAUAGUAUUAAUGAUAAUAGCAGAAACUCUUAAUAUGUGUGAGGCAUUCUUCUAAAUGCUUUACAUAUAUUAAUUUAAUGUUCAUCGGAGCAGAUUCUCCUACUGUAUCCAAGAGAUCAGAAAUUCAGAGCAAAAAGCAGAUUGCUGCCUGAUAGCAGAUCCACUCUAGGAAUGGGGAGAUUUUCUCAUAAAUCUAAUGACUGGUGAAAGUGACAAGAGGUUAGUCCACUCAGUGUUGGAAAGGACAAGAUCCUAGAAAGUGGAAAUGCUCCACUAUUGCUUUAGGGGGAACAGCCUGGCUACAACUGGGCAGACUUUCUAUUACUAACAUCAGGAUAAUAGGGAAGCUCCUGCCAAUGCUGCAUAGAACUAAGAACACUUAGCAGUGAUGGCUGACUUCCAACUGAGCCAUUAAGGUAAGUGUAGAAGAAAGCUCCAGGUAGAAAUAUCUUUGGGAACUCAGAGAACACACUGAGUGUUUGAAGCUGGUACUUAAUCUAUUAUUGAACUCAGAGUUUGCCAUUCUGGGGCCAAUUUGAGUCCACUUAUGACACCUCCCACAGCACUGCUCAUUUCUGUUAACUGGGCUUCACAGAGGGUGAGAAGGGCAGCAAUCAGAUCAUAUAAUUGGGCCUCAUUGUAAUAAAAUGUUGAUUUCUGUUGUCCUUGGACUUCCUUCCAGCCACAAUCACUCUAUGAUCUUGUCUGAGAUUCUUUUUCCUUUCUCUCUCCAUUUUGCUGACUGUAAUGGAAUAAUAGCAGAAGCUCUCAAUCUGUAUGAGGAAUAUAUAUGAAGAAUGUGUAACAUUCACUGUGUUUCCUAAUAGAUGAAUUAUCUAAAGGACACCUCUUAAGAAGAGAUGAGAUGGAGCCAACUGUCAGAAAAAAAAAUGGGUGAAGAAAGUUUCAAGGAGAAGACUCCACAGAGCAGAAUGGGAAAGAUGGCCAGGAGAAAAGUGAGAUAAUAAAAGGAAAAGCAGUCCCUGACACAGAAGGCAGUGCUGUUCCUGAUAAGACACAUGACACAAAAUAUGGUUUUGCUGAGUAUCAAGUUUACUGAGGCUGCCUGGGAACUUGAGCUGUCAGCCAAACAGGAAGAAGGGCCCUUCUGCCUACUCCAAAAGGCCUCAGUCAAAUGGAUAUGUUUACUGAGGCUGCCUGGGAGCUGUCAGCCAAACAGGAAGAAGGGCCCUUCUGCCUAACUCCAAAAGGCCUAAGUCAAAUGGAUAUGGUGAGAUUUAAUGAUGGAUAUAAAUUACAGCAAAUGGAUUUCCUAUAGAGUGAGGGAAAAAAAAAAUCCAGCUACUCCGGAGACUGAGGCAGAAUUGCGAGAACCCGGCAGGUGGUUGCAGU